GUAUCGCAUUGAAACACCGGUUCCCAUAUGAUCACUGAAGUUAAGCAUCAUCGAGCCUGGUCAGUACCUAGGUGGGUGACUACUUGGAAAUACCAGGUGCUGCAAG
Molecule: ribosomal RNA, 106 nt
Filed under: Acanthosepion pharaonis
Lineage: Eukaryota; Metazoa; Mollusca; Cephalopoda; Sepiida; Sepiidae
Source: RNAcentral